GGUUUUGGCUCAGUGGUAGAGCUCUCACCUACUAUGUGUGCAGCCUGGGUUCAAUUCUCAGCACCA
This 66-nucleotide transfer RNA is filed under the name Marmota monax (woodchuck). Its description in RNAcentral is "tRNA.Ser". It matches the Rfam family "tRNA". From Rfam's summary of the family: Transfer RNA (tRNA) molecules are approximately 80 nucleotides in length. Their secondary structure includes four short double-helical elements and three loops (D, anti-codon, and T loops). Further hydrogen bonds mediate the characteristic L-shaped molecular structure. tRNAs have two regions of fundamental functional importance: the anti-codon, which is responsible for specific mRNA codon recognition, and the 3' end, to which the tRNAs corresponding amino acid is attached (by aminoacyl-tRNA synthetases). tRNAs cope with the degeneracy of the genetic code in two manners: having more than one tRNA (with a specific anti-codon) for a particular amino acid; and 'wobble' base-pairing, i.e. permitting non-standard base-pairing at the 3rd anti-codon position. The record is from RNAcentral. Lineage: Eukaryota; Metazoa; Chordata; Mammalia; Rodentia; Sciuridae.